UACGUAGGAGACGAGCGUUGUCCGGAGUUACUGGGCGUAAAGAGCUCGUAGGCGGCCAGUUGCGUCUGCUGUGAAAUCCCGGGGCUCAACCCCGGGCGUGCAGUGGAUACGGGCUGGCUAGAGGCAGGCAGGGGAGAACGGAAUUCCCGGUGUAGCGGUGAAAUGCGCAGAUAUCGGGAGGAACACCGGUGGCGAAGGCGGUUCUCUGGGCCUGUACUGACGCUGAGGAGCGAAAGCGUGGGGAGCGAACAGG
Molecule: ribosomal RNA, 253 nt
Filed under: uncultured bacterium
Lineage: Bacteria
Description: partial 16S ribosomal RNA
Rfam family: Bacterial small subunit ribosomal RNA
Source: RNAcentral